RNAcentral lists this ribosomal RNA (447 nucleotides) under uncultured bacterium. RNAcentral's name for it is "partial 16S ribosomal RNA". It matches the Rfam family "Bacterial small subunit ribosomal RNA", at positions 29 to 523 of the family's 1533-position model. The record is from RNAcentral.
AGCGAACGCUGGCGGCAGGCUUUACACAUGCAAGUCGAACGCCCCGCAAGGGGAGUGGCAGACGGGUGAGUAACACGUGGGAACGUACCCUUUGGUUCGGAAUAACUUGGGGAAACUCAAGCUAAUACCGGAUAAGCCCUUAUGGGGAAAGGUUUACUGCCGAAGGAUCGGCCCGCGUCUGAUUAGCUAGUUGGUGAGGUAAUGGCACACCAAGGCGACGAUCAGUAGCUGGUCUGAGAGGAUGAUCAGCCACACUGGGACUGAGACACGGCCCAGCCUCCUACGGGAGGCAGCAGUGGGGAAUAUUGGACAAUGGGGGCAACCCUGAUCCAGCCAUGCCGCGUGAGUGAUGAAGGCCUUAGGGUUGUAAAGCUCUUUUACCCGGGACGAUAAUGACUGUACCGGGAGAAUAAGCCCCGGCUAACUUCGUGCCAGCAGCCGCCGUAA